CCUACCUAGGCAAUCGAAUAUGAUAAUUUCAUUGAGUGCUGCCUAACUGUUAAGGGGCUGACAGAGAAGUUCAAGGAAAGGGACACGGCGUACUCAGGCUCAGCAACGUUCAAUUAUGAAGCUUUCAUGUUGACCGUUUUGCCCUUCCUCAUUGCUUAGAAAUCUCUCCCCCUUUUUCCUUGCUUCGUUGUAUGAAGUUAGAUGUGGUUUCCGUGUGCUUUGGAUUUGUUAUAGUGGAACUAGAGACCCUACGUGUUUCUCACCACUUUUUAUUUUUUUGUUACUAAUCUAAAACGCGUACUUGUAAUAUUAGGGUGUGUUUGGACGUGCCUUGAAUUGCAAUACAAAUAAUGCAAUCUAGUCAAAUAUCAUUCCCCUUCA
Molecule: long non-coding RNA, 381 nt
Organism: Magnolia sinica
Lineage: Eukaryota; Viridiplantae; Streptophyta; Magnoliopsida; Magnoliales; Magnoliaceae
Exons: 3
Source: RefSeq, a predicted model, not a curated record